UACGAAGGGGGCUAGCGUUGUUCGGAAUUACUGGGCGUAAAGGGCUCGUAGGCGGCCAACUAAGUCCGACGUGAAAUCCCCAGGCUUAACCUGGGAACUGCGCCGGAUACUGGAUGGCUUGAAUUCGGGAGAGGGAUGCAGAAUUCCAGGUGUAGCGGUGAAAUGCGUAGAUAUCUGGAGGAAUACCGGUGGCGAAGGCGGCAUCCUGGACCGACAUUGACGCUGAUGAGCGAAAGCUAGGGGAGCAAACGGG
This 253-nucleotide ribosomal RNA is filed under the name uncultured bacterium. RNAcentral describes it as "partial 16S ribosomal RNA". It matches the Rfam family "Bacterial small subunit ribosomal RNA", at positions 524 to 776 of the family's 1533-position model. The record is from RNAcentral.